Molecule: ribosomal RNA, 483 nt
Filed under: uncultured bacterium
Lineage: Bacteria
Description: partial 16S ribosomal RNA
Rfam family: Bacterial small subunit ribosomal RNA
Source: RNAcentral
GAUUAACGCUAGCGGCAGGCAUAAUACAUGCCAGUUGAACGGCAGCACAGGUAGCACUACUGGGUGGCGAGUGGCGCACGGGUGCGUAACACGUAUGCAACCUACCCUAUACAGGCGAAUAACCUUUAGAAAUGAGGGCUAAUACGCCGUAGUAUUACAGAUGGGCAUCUAUUUGUAAUUAAAGAUUUAUCGGUAUAGGAUGGGCAUGCGUCCCAUUAGUUAGUUGGUAAGGUAACGGCUUACCAAGACGAUGAUGGGUAGGGGAUCUGAGAGGACUUACCCCACACUGGUACUGAGACACGGACCAGACUCCUACGGGAGGCAGCAGUAAGGAAUAUUGGGCAAUGGCCGCGAGGCUGACCCAGCCAUGCCGCGUGCAGGAAGACGGCCUUAUGGGUUGUAAACUGCUUUUAUACGGGAAUAAUAGAGUGUACGCGUACAUUUAUGCAAGUAUCGUAUGAAUAAGCAUCGGCUAACUCCGUG